AUUGAAUGUAUAGUUCUUCCCAAAUCGCAGGACCCACACCAAAGCCAGUCUACUGGACUUAUUCUUCAUAACACUGACCAUUCCACAAAAUUCAUUGAUGGUCAGAUAAGUGACUGGACUGUGGAGAUACGCGUUGUGACGUCAUUGAUGGUAAACAGAAGACUGUGACCUUGGAUCAGAAGACCGGACGUUUGGGGGUCACUAUAUGUUACUGUACUACACAGCUAACAGUGACACACUCAGCCACAAAGAGGUUGUCUCUGAUGUCCACACAUAAACCAAAUGGACCGCGUAAAUCACAGUGAAUGUAACGGAGGAACUGUCCGUCCUGAUCUAGGAUGUGGAUACGGUGAUUUCUAUAGUCUGC
This is a long non-coding RNA of Ostrea edulis (European flat oyster), 367 nucleotides long. RefSeq lists it as uncharacterized. The record is from RefSeq and is a predicted model, not a curated record. NCBI's taxonomy places the organism in Eukaryota, Metazoa, Mollusca, Bivalvia, Ostreida, Ostreidae. The transcript is spliced from 3 exons.